This is a long non-coding RNA of Capsicum annuum, 1609 nucleotides long. RefSeq lists it as uncharacterized. Lineage: Eukaryota; Viridiplantae; Streptophyta; Magnoliopsida; Solanales; Solanaceae. The record is from RefSeq and is a predicted model, not a curated record. The transcript has 2 exons.
UCAAUAGACUUUAACCUUUUCUAGAGUAUCAAAAAGCAAAAUAAAUAUAGAAAAAUGAAUUGCUGUACAAAAUAUUUAUUGAAUUAAAGACUAUUUGGUAGGACUAUAUUUUUGCCUUUGCUUCUUUUGUUAUGUUUACGAGUCCCACAUCAAAGGAAAAUUUGAAGUAGACAAUAGAGAGUUGAUAUAAAAACGAAGGCCCAUUGCCAAGCAUAAGCAUACCUUUCUCGGCCUUUUGGCUAAGAUCAAGUGUAGUAUCUGUUCUUAUCAGUUUAAUAUCUGAUAUGUGGGCCAUUGGUCCACACGAUAUUAACUCUAUUUUUUGAGGGGGAAGACUCAUCAAGGUAGCUUGCUGCCUGGGCCUUCAAGCGUCGCCCAAGUGUUGCACUAUGCUUUGGCCUGGCGCACCCCACGAAUACUAGUUUAAUGUUUGAGCAGUAUGUUGUCUUAGUCUAGUAAUCUGUGGAAAUUUCUCACUGUACUUAUUUUAUUUCUGGUGUCCUCUCUUGUUUUUAGAGAUCAGGUUUAAACUACUAAAGCUUGUAUUGAAGAGUCAAAGCUCGUAGGGAAGAGUCAAAGCGAAUUGGACUUUUCUGGCCUUUUUCCUGUCUAUUUGCGUUGCGGGAAUCUUUAAUUGAAAACCCUGUCUUCUGCCCUCGCCACUUCUUUUGCUGACCCUAUCCACCUCCUUUUGGAAUACCAGAAAAAGAGAUGAAUUAGCGGAUCAUAGGGGCCAAGUCGAAGCAUAUGCCUGAACCUUCUUUGGCGGAGAUGGAGUUAAUAGGGAGUUGUGAGAGGAUGUACUUGGCCUAGUGGUCAAUAAAGUUGGUUGAGCAUCAUGACGUCUAGGUUUAAUUUUCAGCUAGACAAAAACAGAAAAUAUGCAUAAUCAUGCUUAACUGAAUUUUGCUUGAAUUCAUAGUCAAGGAGUUCUGAUGUUGAUGCCUGUCUGGUAGAGGAAGUUGUAUCAUCGGUUUUGCAGCGUUAAUUAUGCAGUUUUUGUUGUGCUAUGGAUAAGACGGCGUCUUCCCUAGACAUGGCAACUCUCUCCCUACACUUGUGUGUCCAUUUAGGAUCACCACUGAUAUUUUCUGGACAGCUCUCUUCAUGGAUCCUUGCUCGGGCCAAUAUCUAUUUUAUGGAGUAUCUUUCAACUGUCAUUUCGUCUUGCAGGAAGAAUUUACCGAAUGUUUUGGAGUUUCUAGGAAGGCCAAAUACUUGCACUCUUGUUUCCGGAACAAGUGAGUCAAUUUGCAUGAAAAAUUCAAGAAUGCCGUUGAAGCAUAUCUUCCUGGUACUAUUGAUGAGUUGACUCUAAAAGCUAAGAAAAAGGGCCAGCAGAAUAAACCUUCCUUCUGGGAUUCGGUCACUGAUUCAAAAGCAGGCACUUUCAGAUUUUCUUUUUGAUGAAAGGCCAGUGAUGGAAUCUUCAAUUGUUAGUUCCCAGGCUGUAGACUUUUACCAAUCUUCUGCUCAAACAGAUGAAGCUGCAAGAGUGAAAUUUAAUGUUUGUUUACUUAACAAGAGGGAUUUUAUUGGCAUUUUAUUCAUCAUUGAACUUGUAUUUUUCCCAAGAGGAAACAAAAGUUUAGACAAAUUUUGGCGUCAA